GGGGCCGACUGGUUUUGACAGCGGGUCUUAUUGUAUUGUAAGCAUGCCGAGCGCCGGGACACAGCUCGUAAAUAUCAUGUUUCAAACUUUUUUAAACGGCGAGAAUAACUACGCCCUAGCUGCAUAAUCUGAAUUAUAGUAGGAUAUGCCUCGGCCCGUAAGACGGGCAAGCAGGAAGUCACUCAAAGGCCUUGGUUUACGGCGUUUGGUUUAGUGACUUCGUAGAAGUAAACCUAGCUUGUGCAGGGCUUUGAUGCACUUGCGAAACUUAAGCGAAGAUAAGGGGUGCGUUGGUAGUUUUCGACCGGCAAGCCCACGAAAAUCCAAAUGAAAACUAAGCAUGUAGAAAGCAGUAUAAUUGCGCGUUUGGACGGGAGUUCGAAUCUCCCCGGCUCCACAA
This 400-nucleotide transfer-messenger RNA is filed under the name Flavobacteriaceae. RNAcentral's name for it is "Marixanthomonas sp002360635 Standard tmRNA". It matches the Rfam family "transfer-messenger RNA". Rfam says of the family: Bacterial tmRNA, also known as 10Sa RNA or SsrA, is named for its dual tRNA and mRNA-like properties. Its role is to liberate the mRNA from a stalled ribosome. Lineage: Bacteria; Pseudomonadati; Bacteroidota; Flavobacteriia; Flavobacteriales. RNAcentral also lists the same sequence under 1 other name. The record is from RNAcentral.